Molecule: ribosomal RNA, 723 nt
Filed under: uncultured Herbaspirillum sp.
Lineage: Bacteria; Pseudomonadati; Pseudomonadota; Betaproteobacteria; Burkholderiales; Oxalobacteraceae
Description: bacterial SSU rRNA
Rfam family: Bacterial small subunit ribosomal RNA
Source: RNAcentral
GCUCAGAUUGAACGCUGGCGGCAUGCCUUACACAUGCAAGUCGAACGGCAGCAUAGGAGCUUGCUCCUGAUGGCGAGUGGCGAACGGGUGAGUAAUAUAUCGGAACGUGCCCUAGAGUGGGGGAUAACUAGUCGAAAGAUUAGCUAAUACCGCAUACGAUCUACGGAUGAAAGUGGGGGAUCGCAAGACCUCAUGCUCCUGGAGCGGCCGAUAUCUGAUUAGCUAGUUGGUGGGGUAAAAGCCUACCAAGGCGACGAUCAGUAGCUGGUCUGAGAGGACGACCAGCCACACUGGGACUGAGACACGGCCCAGACUCCUACGGGAGGCAGCAGUGGGGAAUUUUGGACAAUGGGGGCAACCCUGAUCCAGCAAUGCCGCGUGAGUGAAGAAGGCCUUCGGGUUGUAAAGCUCUUUUGUCAGGGAAGAAACGGUUUUGGCUAAUAUCCAGAACUAAUGACGGUACCUGAAGAAUAAGCACCGGCUAACUACGUGCCAGCAGCCGCGGUAAUACGUAGGGUGCAAGCGUUAAUCGGAAUUACUGGGCGUAAAGCGUGCGCAGGCGGUUGUGUAAGACAGAUGUGAAAUCCCCGGGCUCAACCUGGGAAUUGCAUUUGUGACUGCACGGCUAGAGUGUGUCAGAGGGGGGUAGAAUUCCACGUGUAGCAGUGAAAUGCGUAGAUAUGUGGAGGAAUACCGAUGGCGAAGGCAGCCCCCUGGGAUAAC